This 133-nucleotide small RNA is filed under the name Klebsiella pneumoniae. Its description in RNAcentral is "RtT sRNA". It matches the Rfam family "RtT RNA". Rfam says of the family: This family represents a bacterial cis-regulatory element known as RtT RNA. The exact function of RtT is unknown although it is thought that it may be involved in changing the cellular response in relation to amino acid starvation. The record is from RNAcentral. RNAcentral also lists the same sequence under 1 other name. Lineage: Bacteria; Pseudomonadati; Pseudomonadota; Gammaproteobacteria; Enterobacterales; Enterobacteriaceae.
GAUUCUGCCCUACGGGGAAGGAUGAGAAGCUUCGACUAAGGUUCGACUCGAGCGCCAGCGAGAGAACGUUGCCAAGGGCAACGGCCCGAAGGGCGAGGAGCGAUAGCGUCGAGUUAUCCUUCCCCCACCACCA